This 397-nucleotide ribosomal RNA is filed under the name uncultured bacterium. RNAcentral describes it as "bacterial SSU rRNA". It matches the Rfam family "Bacterial small subunit ribosomal RNA", at positions 64 to 507 of the family's 1533-position model. The record is from RNAcentral.
GAACGAAGCCUUCGGGCUUAGUGGCGCACGGGUGCGUAACGCGUGGGAAUCUGCCCCUUGGUUCGGAAUAACAGUUAGAAAUGACUGCUAAUACCGGAUAACGACGUAAGUCCAAAGAUUUAUCGCCGAGGGAUGAGCCCGCGUAGGAUUAGCUAGUUGGUGUGGUAAAGGCGCACCAAGGCGACGAUCCUUAGCUGGUCUGAGAGGAUGAUCAGCCACACUGGGACUGAGACACGGCCCAGACUACUACGGGAGGCAGCAGUGGGGAAUAUUGGACAAUGGGCGAAAGCCUGAUCCAGCAAUGCCGCGUGAGUGAUGAAGGCCUUAGGGUUGUAAAGCUCUUUUACCCGGGAUGAUAAUGACAGUACCGGGAGAAUAAGCUCCGGCUAACUCCGUG